This is an RNA transcript of Nelumbo nucifera (sacred lotus), 1646 nucleotides long. It is a transcript of the gene named large ribosomal subunit protein uL13c-like, with no coding region annotated. The record is from RefSeq and is a predicted model, not a curated record. Lineage: Eukaryota; Viridiplantae; Streptophyta; Magnoliopsida; Proteales; Nelumbonaceae.
CCCAUUCUCAUAAAUUCAUGUUUUUUUCUCACAAUUUCUUACUAAAAUCUCUGAAUAAAUUUUUUUCUCACAAUUCAUGAAGGAAUUAAGUUUUAUUUUGAAAAUUUGAGAAAUAAUCUAGAGUAAAUUAGACAUUUUAAGACAAUACUGAACAGUAGUAUUUGUAAUCAUAUGUAUUUUGUAUUAUUUUGCAUGAAUUUGAAAAGUACAUAUUUGUAUUUGUAAUCUAAACUGAGCGUUAGGAGUAGUUUAAGAAAUUUGCCCAUACAUAUUUUCCCCCGCGCACUCGAAAGUCGGAUGCCUGUUCCCCGUUAACCGUCAGCGCCACCUUAUCCACUGAGUAGUAGUAGUGGAAUAACACUCCCAGGAGAAGAGAAAUGGCUGCAGUUUAUACGCCCUCAUCGGCCUUCCUGUCCACUCCACCCCAGAAAGUAUACUCGUUUGCUUCUCCCAAGACUCCGUUCCUUGGAUUUCCAGUUGCAGCAGCCAAACCUUCUAUUCAAGCUCGAGCACUUACCCUCUCUAAGCCAACCCCCAACCAGAUUCAUUGCCAGGGAGGUGCAGUAGUUCCCAAGGAGCAGAAGUGGAUGUUCGACGAAUCUAAUAUCAACGGCCCGGAUAUUUGGAAUAAGACAUGGUACCCAAAAGCUGCAGAUCAUGUAAACACAGAAAAAACAUGGUAUGUUGUAGAUGCAACUGACAAAAUUCUGGGAAGAUUAGCAUCAACUAUAGCCAUUCAUAUCCGUGGGAAGAAUCUGGCAACAUAUACUCCCAGUGUGGACAUGGGGGCAUUUGUCAUAGUGGUGAAUGCAGAAAAGGUUGCUGUAUCUGGUAAAAAGAGGACACAAAAGCUAUAUAGGAGGCAUUCUGGAAAACCUGGUGGCAUGAAGGUGGAAACAUUUGAUCAACUCCAACAAAGAAUUCCAGAGAGAAUAAUUGAACAUGCUGUCCGUGGCAUGCUUCCUAAGGGGAGGGAACAACAUAAUCUUGAUCUGAAAAAGCACCUUAUUAAUUUGAAUGCCUUGGAAAGUUAGGGGAAAGCUUGUUCCUGCAGACUUGUUUGAAAGAUUCUUAUUAAAUUAUCUCUUGAGAAUAACAUGUGGUCAGGUCAUUUACUUUAAAGGGGAAAAUGGCCCGUAAUUAGAGCUUGAAGCAGCCUCCUUUUGGCUCUAAAUGGCCUUAGUUCUGGGCUGAGGUGCUAUAUUACAGUGGCUACCCCAUAUGUUUUCCAGGUUGUCGUCUAGCAAUGCUUUAACUACGGUGUUAUUGUAGUUUGUGCCCACGUGUACAUGUAUUUUCUUUCAUUUCAAAUUUUAAGUCACUAUUAUUACUGAUUUGUGUAUUUCUUAUACAUGGUGGUUUCUUUUCUUUCUAUGUGAUAUCUAUGCUUUUUGUUUUAAGUGUUUAACUACUCCAACACCUCGACUAAUCCUUUCUGCAAAAGUAUCAUAUUAAGAAUAUACUUGAUAUUGUUAUUGGAGAAAAUGAAAAUGGUUGUUUUCCUUUGGCUACUUGCACAGAGAUUUGCUCACAGAAGAUAUGUUAUACUGCCUUGGAAGUACCGUUAUAUUUCCUUAAUAUUCUUUUGUAGCAUAUCAUAAUCUCCUUUUCUAAGCUGCCCAACGUCUGUAUUGGAUAUUUGGACU